UGCGGCUGGGAUGCCUCCCUGUAGUCCACGGAGGGAAAGGACAGCAAGGGCCCCCAGCAACAAGUGCCACCAUAGGAGCAGUUUACUGGUGCUGCCUAGCCCUGCUGUUGACUCCACUGACAUCUGGAACACCACAGCCUACCUGGCUCCCAGGAAGAGAUCAACCCACACUCUCCCACAUUAUUCAGGCACUGGGUCACUCGGAGGCACCUGCCCAAGGCCCACGUGGCUAGGGCGGCUACCCUCUGCGAAUGGGAAGCUGCCAGUUUCAGUCUGCACUGAUGAGGAGUGCAGCAGACAUUGUCGACCCCUGGGGAAAAGACAACUCCCAACCCACUGACUUUUCAAAACACACCACCUAGUCAUGAAAGCCGCUGACUUUAUUGAUCUAAAAACAGUGACUGUUCUGUCCAAAAAAGGGAGCCAAAUGGCAUCAUACAGACCAGAGAUGAGGUGGAAGUGAGGGAAAGGGGCUGGGAAUCCACUCAAGAAAGCUGGCAAUUGUCGCCAAGGAACUGGCAAGGGAAGGAUGAGGAAGGGAGAUGCAUGCAAGAGUGACAUUUCCAAAAAAGUUGAAAUGGUGUGGGGGAGAGAACUCCCAAAAGACCCUUGAAUACACCAGAGGUGAGUAUGACAACAG
Long non-coding RNA from Chinchilla lanigera (long-tailed chinchilla), 640 nucleotides. RefSeq lists it as uncharacterized. The transcript is spliced from 2 exons. The record is from RefSeq and is a predicted model, not a curated record. NCBI's taxonomy places the organism in Eukaryota, Metazoa, Chordata, Mammalia, Rodentia, Chinchillidae.